RNAcentral lists this ribosomal RNA (719 nucleotides) under uncultured bacterium. RNAcentral's name for it is "bacterial SSU rRNA". It matches the Rfam family "Bacterial small subunit ribosomal RNA", at positions 94 to 820 of the family's 1533-position model. The record is from RNAcentral.
AGUGGCGAAAGGGGCAGUAAGGCGUGGGUAACCUACCUCGAGGACCGGCAUAGCCUCUCUAACGAGAGGGUAAUUCCGGGCGCGGUAACCGAGACGCAUGUUCUGGUUAUGGGAUGAGUUUCGCCUCGAGACGGGCUCACGUGGUAUUAGCUAGUUGGUGAGGUAACGGCUCACCAAGGCCGAGAUGCCUAGCAGGUGUGAGAGCACGACCUGCGCCACUGGCACUGAGACACUGGCCAGACUCCUACGGGAGGCUGCAGUCGAGGAUCUUCGGCAAUGGGCGCAAGCCUGACCGAGCGACGCCGCGUGUGCGAUGAAGGCCUUCGGGUUGUAAAGCACUGUCGAGGGGGAGAAAAGCCCGCAAGGGUCUGAUCUAUCCCUGGAGGAAGCACGGGCUAAGUUCGUGCCAGCAGCCGCGGUAAGACGAACCGUGCGAACGUUGUUCGGAUUCACUGGGCUUAAAGGGCGCGUAGGCGGGCACGCAAGUCAGGGGUGAAAUCUUUCAGCUUAACUGGAAAACAGCCUUUGAUACUGCGUGUCUGGAGGAAGGUAGGGGCAUGCGGAACUUCCGGUGGAGCGGUGAAAUGCGUAGAUAUCGGAAGGAACGCCGGUGGCGAAAGCGGCGUGCUGGACCUUUUCUGACGCUGAGGCGCGAAAGCCAGGGGAGCAAACGGGAUUAGAUACCCCGGUAGUCCUGGCCCUAAACGAUGGGUACUAGA